This is a long non-coding RNA of Hypanus sabinus (Atlantic stingray), 1215 nucleotides long. RefSeq lists it as uncharacterized. The transcript is spliced from 3 exons. NCBI's taxonomy places the organism in Eukaryota, Metazoa, Chordata, Chondrichthyes, Myliobatiformes, Dasyatidae. The record is from RefSeq and is a predicted model, not a curated record.
ACAGGAUUACUGAACUACAGGAAAAGGCUGAAUUUCCAUGGAGAAUGAGAGGAGGUUUUGAAAGACGUGUACAAAAUGAAUGCAAAUGGACUUUUUUCACUGAGGUUGGGUGAGACUAGAACUGCAGUUCAUAGGUUGUGGGUGAAAGGUGAAAUGUUUAAGGGAAACCUGAGGGGAUCUUUUUCACUCGGAGAGUGGAACGAACUGUCAGCACACGUUGUACACGUAGAACGAAGUGCAGCAUUUAACAGAAGUUUGGGAAAUGCCAGUAAGCAAUCUCGACCAGGCUGCAGGAGGCUGUCGAGAUCAUGGCCUGAGAAGUGAUACCAGUCAUUUCCUUGAGUCAGAGCAGAUGUCCUGCGUUUCCCCGGCUGUGAUGUUGCAAGAUGCUACCUGACCUGCUGAGUUCCUCCAGCUUUUGGUUUGUGUUGAUCUGGAUUUCCAGCAUCUGCAGAGUCUCUCGUAUCCAAGCUGUUGCAAUUUGGCCAGGUGGAGACUGGCAGACAGCUGCAGAGAGUCCUCAGUUCCAAAAUCGCCAUGGCCCAUUCAGUCAUAAAUACAUAAAUGUCCAAGCCCCUCAUUACGACAAUGUCCGUCACUUUCUUGCUUGGACAAAGAUGGUGGCCAUGCCACACUGUGACAGCUGCUGCAGUUGGUUGUUACUUGGAGCCGGCUCGGUUACAAUUCUAGGGAGAUUUAAUGCCGUAGUUUGGUGGAAAACUGAUACAGUGCUGUGACCAUUAAUGUUAGUUACCCUGGUGAGACACUGCAUGACUGUCCUGAGGACGAUAUGUUACUGCACAAGCAACUAAUCUGUGUACGCUUGUUGCCGCCAAAUGCUCAGACUCAAUUUUACUGAAGAUGGAACAGGUUUGAGGGGCUGAAUGGCCACAUCCUGGGCUUUGCUGGUGGAACGAUCCCUGUGCCAUUUGGUCUGCUGAGAGAAGAGCCUUCGGCGUUUGCAGGGUGACUGAAAUCUUAGAUAUCAUAUCUACAUCCCCAUCUCUCCGUUUUCCUCAGGGAUCCCUCCCUCCACAAUUCCGUUGUCCAUUCAUCCCUCCUGGUACCUAUCCCUGCAAGCAGCUGAAGUACUACACCUGUCCUAUCACUUCCUCCCUCACCUCCAUUCAGAGCCCCAAACAGUCCUUCCAAUGAGGCCACACUUCACCUGCAGGCCCGUUGUGUCCGCUGCUCCCGAUGCGGCCUCUUCUACAU